RNAcentral lists this ribosomal RNA (356 nucleotides) under uncultured bacterium. RNAcentral's name for it is "bacterial SSU rRNA". It matches the Rfam family "Bacterial small subunit ribosomal RNA", at positions 870 to 1238 of the family's 1533-position model. The record is from RNAcentral.
CGGCCGCGUCGACCGCAAGGUUGAAACUCAAAGGAAUUGACGGGGCCCGCACAAGCAGUGGAGUAUGUGGUUUAAUUCGAAGCAACGCGAAGAACCUUACCAGGUCUUGACAUCCGAUGCAUAGCGCAGAGAUGCGUGAAGUCCUUCGGGACAUCGAGACAGGUGGUGCAUGGUUGUCGUCAGCUCGUGUCGUGAGAUGUUGGGUUAAGUCCCGCAACGAGCGCAACCCUUAUCGUCAGUUACUACGCAAGAGGACUCUGGCGAGACUGCCGUUGACAAAACGGAGGAAGGUGGGGAUGACGUCAAAUCAUCAUGCCCUUUAUGACCUGGGCUACACACGUACGUCGACGCGGCCG